GCGGACGGGNGAGUAACACGUGGAUNACCCUACCUAUAAGACUGGGAUAANNUUCGGGAAACCGGAGCUAAUACCNGNAUAAUAUUUUGAACCGCAUGAUUCAAAAGUGAAAGACGGUCUUGCUGUCACUUAUAGAUGGAUCCGCGCUGCAUUAGCUAGUUGGUAAGGUAACGGCUUACCAAGGCAACGAUGCAUAGCCGACCUGAGAGGGUGAUCGGCCACACUGGAACUGAGACACGGUCCAGACUCNUACGGGAGGCAGCAGUAGGGAAUCUUCCGCAAUGGGCGAAAGCCUGACGGAGCAACGCCGCGUGAAUGAUGAAGGUCUUCGGAUCGUAAAACUCUGUUAUUAGGGAAGAACAUAUGUGUAAGUAACUGUGCACAUCUUGACGGUACCUAAUCAGAAAGCCACGGCUAACUACGUGCCAGCAGCCGCGGUAAUACGUAGGUGGCAAGCGUUAUCCGGAAUUAUUGGGCGUAAAGCGCGCGUAGGCGGUUUUUUAAGUCUGAUGUGAAAGCCCACGGCUCAACCGUGGAGGGUCAUUGGAAACUGGAAAACUUGAGUGCAGAAGAGGAAAGUGGAAUUCCAUGUGUAGCGGUGAAAUGCGCAGAGAUAUGGAGGAACACCAGUGGCGAAGGCGACUUUCUGGUCUGUAACUGACGCUGAUGUGCGAAAGCGUGGGGAUCAAACAGGAUUAGAUACCCUGGUAGUCCACGCCGUAAACGAUGAGUGNUAAGUGUUAGGGGGUUUCCGCCCCUUAGUGCUGCAGCUAACGCAUUAAGCACUCCGCCUGGGGAGUNCNNNNNNNNGGUUGAAACUCAAAGGAAUUGACGGGGAC
RNAcentral lists this ribosomal RNA (839 nucleotides) under Staphylococcus aureus. RNAcentral describes it as "partial 16S ribosomal RNA". It matches the Rfam family "Bacterial small subunit ribosomal RNA", at positions 98 to 920 of the family's 1533-position model. The record is from RNAcentral. Lineage: Bacteria; Bacillati; Bacillota; Bacilli; Caryophanales; Staphylococcaceae.